Molecule: small nuclear RNA, 196 nt
Organism: Salvia hispanica
Lineage: Eukaryota; Viridiplantae; Streptophyta; Magnoliopsida; Lamiales; Lamiaceae
Product: U2 spliceosomal RNA
Source: RefSeq, a predicted model, not a curated record
AUAUCUAUCUCGGUCUUUUGGCUAAGAUCAAGUGUAGUAGAUGUUCUCAUCAAUUUAAUAGAAUCUGAUGGGGCCAUCAACCUAUAUGGUAUUAAAUUUAUUUUUUGAGGGAGAAAGCCCAUUAAGAUAGCUUGGUAUCUGGGCUUUCCCGCAUCGCCUUUGCAUUGCACUAUUGCAUUGGUCCGACGUAGCUCAC